This 1741-nucleotide long non-coding RNA is filed under the name Homo sapiens (human). Its description in RNAcentral is "HSALNT0301173". Lineage: Eukaryota; Metazoa; Chordata; Mammalia; Primates; Hominidae. The record is from RNAcentral.
UGCUAGAAUUAGAGGCAUGAGCCUCCAUGCCUAUCCUAGACUAUCUUUUAAAAAGUUUUAUUUUUAAAGAAGCAGAACUUUCUAGUUUGUUUUAUCAUGCCUUUAUCAAGAACUUUUUAAGAAUUUAGGGACAAAAACAUCUUAUGCUCUGCCCCAAUAUUUCAUAUGUAGAAACAUAAACAUCAAAUUUUAUAUGUUGACCUUUUUUUAAAUCACUGCCUAAAAAAGAACUAUAUUUUGUGGUCAUGUGAAGUUUCAGUGGUAGAAUUUUCUUUCUGUUGUGGCCAAUCAUGAAUCUUGCUCCAGUGUUUUUGUAUUUACCAGACGGCAGCUGGGGAGUGAGUUAGACAGAAAUAUAAAGACAGAUAUACAGAAAGGGAGAAGAAAAAGAUGAGGAGAAGAGGACUAGGGGAGUAGUAGGGAACUGGGAUGGGAUGGGGAGGAGGUAAGACAGGAGAGAACAAGAAGAGAAGAGAGGAGCGGGAAGAGGGCUGGCAGGAGGAUCGUUGACCUAGGAAGAGAGGAAGGCCUGGUGAAGCUCUAGAAGGAAAGAGUCAGAAUGAGACGUUACAGACCACAAAGGCGGGGCAAGGGCACAGAGGCAGCUGGAGAGCAGACUGGGCGCGUUGGUGUGUUAUAGACACAAGAGAAAGAGCCCAGAGGAGGCAGUAACAAAUGGGAGCAUAUAGGAGCUAGAAGCCACAUUUGGGAAACUAGGGAAAGGGGAAGAGAAGGAGAGAAAAGCAGUGCAAAUCUAACUAGAGAUUUGAUUCCUUAGGCACUAGGAAAGCUCAGCUUGGGGGCUGUCUGCCUCAUCUGAGAGGAAGGAAAGUGGAGAUAUAAACGGAUUAAGAGGAUAGGAGACCAGGGGACAGACUGGUGUCCAAAUUUGAUGCAUACCACAUUUGACAUUUGGCUAAUGAAGGUUGAUGGAAAACAACUUUUACUCGAUUAGGAUAGAAAAGUUUUUUAAAAAGCUGAGUGUAAUUGACAUGAAUUAGUGAUAAAUGACCAAAAAAAAUACACCACUAAUCUAAAAUACUUUAUGACCUAUCAAACAGGAGACACAAGUUUGUCAAAAAGUUUGAGACACUUAGAUGCACUUAGAUGCCUUAGAAGGCAUCUCCAUUCCUGGUCUGGAACAUUCACAAGUGUGGUAUUGGCCCUAAUCAGUUCUACGAACAACUUUUUAAUAAGGCUGGUUGGUAAAGACUAACUUCUGGCUUUGUUUUCCCAAUAGAAUAUGCUAGAACUGUGCAACUUUAGACAUUUUUAAGGAAUAAGUGUAUUAUUACUCAUAGUAGUGAAGGGAAAAUUCACACUGUUCUCAAGGCUAAUAGACGUACUGUUAAUUUUAGCUCAUGUGUUUAAAUGGAUUGUCUAUCAGGGGAAAAAAGUCAAAUAUGAAAUUGUUCUAAUGAUAAUUUGCUGUAAUUCUAAAGCCAAUAUGUGAAAGAGCUGUGUAAUAAUAUAUUUAAAUACUAAAAAAUCUUUUGGACAUUAACCUUAGAUGCUGAUGUCCUCUUAUUGAGUUGUGGUUUUGUUUUGCUAAUACUGGUUGAAAGCCCUUUAAUUUUUCAGUGACAUCAUAAAGAUUUUUUAUCCUACUGAAAUCAUCCAUAGAAUGGUUUUAAACCAGUUUUCUAAAUAUCAUGUAUUUUUUAAAACCUACCACUGGAUACCCAGACUCUGAAACUGGGCUUCUCCCAAUCUUGGCAACAUUAGCAAUGAUACUCACUUU